RNAcentral lists this ribosomal RNA (311 nucleotides) under Escherichia coli. RNAcentral's name for it is "partial 23S ribosomal RNA". It matches the Rfam family "Bacterial large subunit ribosomal RNA", at positions 1 to 348 of the family's 2925-position model. The record is from RNAcentral. Lineage: Bacteria; Pseudomonadati; Pseudomonadota; Gammaproteobacteria; Enterobacterales; Enterobacteriaceae.
GGUUAAGCGACUAAGCGUACACGGUGGAUGCCCUGGCAGUCAGAGGCGAUGAAGGACGUGCUAAUCUGCGAUAAGCGUCGGUAAGGUGAUAUGAACCGUUAUAACCGGCGAUUUCCGAAUGGGGAAACCCAGUGUGUUUCGACACACUAUCAUUAACUGAAUCCAUAGGUUAAUGAGGCGAACCGGGGGAACUGAAACAUCUAAGUACCCCGAGGAAAAGAAAUCAACCGAGAUUCCCCCAGUAGCGGCGAGCGAACGGGGAGGAGCCCAGAGCCUGAAUCAGUGUGUGUGUUAGUGGAAGCGUCUGGAAA